GGCAUAUGGAGGUUCCCAGGCUAGGGGUCCAACUGGAGCUGUAGCCACCGGCCUACACCAGAGCCACAGCAACGAGGGAUCCGAGCCACGUCUGUGACCUACACCACAGCUCAUGGCAAUGCUGGAUCCUUAACCCACUGAGCAAGGCCAGAGAUCGAACCUGCAACCUCAUGGUUUCUAGUCGGAUUCAUUAACCACUGAGCCACGAUAGGAACUCCAACAGGAACUUCUUCUGCUUGUUUUAUUUGUUUGUUUUUGUUUUCUGGGCCAUGCUUGCAACAUAUGGGAGUUUCCAGGCUAAGGCCAAUGAAUCAGAGCUAUAGUUGCCAGCCCAAGCCACAGCCUUGGCAACACAGGAUUCAAGCCAAGUCUGUAAACUACACCACAGCUCAUGGCAACAUCCACCGAGCAAGUCCAGGGAUCAAACCCACAUCCUCGUGGAUACUAGUCAGAUUCGUUUCUGCUGCGCCACAAUGGGAACUCUGUUUGUUUCAGAUAGCCAAUACUUUAUGCCAGGCAAAUAGAAAGCAAUUAAUGCUGGCUGACAUGAGAAUAUUUAGGUAAUAUUGUUACUCAUACCUUCAAAUUGUCACCAUAUAAUUUUAAAAUAAGCUAGAACUUGGAAUUCUUUUGUGGUGCAGUGGGUUAAGGAUCUGGCAUUGUCACUGCAGUGGCUUAGAUCACUGCUGUGGUGUGGGUUUGAAUCCUGGCCCGAGAGCUUCCAUGUGCUGUGGUCAUGGCCAAAGAAACAAAACAAAACAAAAAAUCUACUUCUUAAAGUUCUUAAAAACCAAAGAAUGGGAGUUACCAUCGUGGCACAGUGGUUAACGAAUCCGACUAGGAACCAUGAGGUUGUGGGUUCGAUCCCUGGCCUUGCUCAGUGGGUUAAGGAUCCGGCGUUGCUGUGAGCUGUGGUGUAGGUCGCAGACACAGCUUGGAUCCCACAUUGCUGUGGCUCUGGUGUAGGCUGGUGGCUACAGGUCCGAUUAGACCCCUAGCCUGGGAACCUCCAUAUGCCACAGGAGAGGCCCAAGAAAUGGCAAAAAGACAAACAAACAAACAAAAAACCCCUAAAGAAUGGAAACUUAUUCCUUCAUCCCUCAUUAUAGGUUUAAAAAUGUCCUUAUAAAAUAUUGUGGAAUUAGAAAGAGGUGAUGGUUGCACAAGAGUGUGAAUGAACUUAUUUAUGCCACUUAAACUUGGGUCAAGGUCACACAAUUUGGUAAUAGAGAAAGUAGAAUCUAAAUUUUGGUCUUUAUGACUUCAAAACCUGUAUGUGUACCAUUUUCUACUACCAUGUGGUAUCAACAAAUAUAUAACCAAAACAGUUAAACUGCUUUAUACAACUAAAAUGUAAGUUUAGGUACACUGAAUAUUUCUCGUCAACAACAAAGUUAGCUAUGAUGGAGGAUAAAAACCCACGUCUUAGUCCUUAAAUUCUGCAAUACAUCAAGUCCUUUUUAGUACUUGAUGAGAUCCUAAGUGGACUAAAACCAACUUUUCUCUGGAAGUGAGUUUCAUUUUUAAUCUUUCUUAAUAAUAGAAACUCUCUGCAUCAAAAAAGCCUAGGUUUAUAAAAAAUUACUAUGUCUUCGUGUGACCUAUUUGUACCAUUUUAGUAAAGGGUUACAUGAAUAUAUUGACUCAAAUAGAACAUAAUUAGGGGCUAUUAUACCACAGGGAAAUAUUUAAUUUUAAAACUGUCAAAGUAAAAUCCUUUCUAUAUCUAUUACAAAGAAUACAAAAUUCUGAUACAUAUCCAAAAUGCUUGAUUUUUUUUAGAUUAAUAUAUAUAAGCCUCUUUAACGUACCUUGACUCCCACAGAGAGUUGGUAGGGAUGGAUAGUUUUAACUUGUAUGUUGUGUCAAACACAACUUGAGAUGCAACUGCAGAGCUUGAAAAAGUAGACCUGAUUGUGAAUGUUCUUCUGCCCCCAAGCCCCUCUCAUAUCAUCCAUCUUAGUCCACUCUGGUCAGACUUUGGUGUCCUUACAGUCGCAAAGAUGAUAAUUUGCACUGCUUCAUUGCCUCUAGCAAAAGGAGGAAUAAUGUCUAAAUCACAAAGAAGAAUAAGGACUGACACUUCUCCACUACAAUGUCUCCAAGAAAAAAACACAAAAGUUACAGGAAGAAUUCUUACUCAGGUAUUAGGAUGAAGAUCAACUUUUCUGAGAUUUAUAAAUAAGGUGAAUAGCCCAGGUAUAGGGAUUGAAGAGAAUUGCCUGGGAGAUAGCUUUUGACAACACUAACUUCUCCACGUAAACUGUUAAACAUUUCCAUUACCCCUAUCCUUAGGAAAAUUCAUUUACCCCCCCCCCAACAAUUAUCUUCAUUUUGUAAUGCUAAUGCCUCAUUGUUCACUUCAUAUAAAAACAAAAACUGUCCAUACCUUUGAAAUAGUUGAAGGCACCCUAUCGGAUUAAAGAACAUCCACAUUUUAAACUCAAUCUCCCUUUUAAAAAGUCUAAUCUGAGUAAGUACUAACCCCAGGAUACAAAAAUAAUUUGACAACUGAGUUAUUCUCCAAGAAAAGAUAUGAAUAUUUAUUUGACUUUUUUUAUUUAAAAUGGAUAAACAAACAAACAUAUCUCCUCAGCUGAAAGCCAUCCAAACAUAAUUUCAAAACUCUCCAAAUUAUAAAGGGAAAAAAGAGUCAAGGGAAUGAAUUUUUAAACUUAGUUCCAGAACAUAUUAGGAAUUAAAAAAAAAUUAGAACUGGGUCUUAUUCAGUUAAAUAAGUUAUUCAUAUUUAAAUCCAUGAUGUGAAAAAGAAAUGAAUUUAUUUGUCAAUAAGAAUGCUAAGAAUGCAAUUUUGAAGGAAAAACAUGAAAAGAAGCAAGUCUGUCUUGAUUUUUUUUAAUUCCAUGUUUAAUAAACUGCUUUGAAAUAAAUUUUCUGGAGUUCCCAUCAUGGUGCAGCAGAAACAAAUCCAACUAGGAACCAUGAGGUUGCAGGUUUGAUCCCUGGCCUCACUCAGUGGGUUAAGGAUUCAGCAUUGCCAUGAGCUAUGGUGUAGAUUGCAGAUGCAGCUUGGAUCUGGCGCUGCUGUGGCUCUGGCGUAGGCUGGCGGCUAUAGCUCCAAUUAGACCCCUAGCCUGGGAACCUCCAUAUGCUGCUGGUGUGGCCCUAAAAGGACAAAAAACAAAAAAAAAAAAAAAGAAACUAAAUUUUCUUUGUUCUUUUAUUCCAUCUUCCAUGAAAUAAGGACUAUAAAACCAUUGAUAAAGUGACUAGAAAUGCUUUCCUUGACCAAAGUGAAAGAAUAUACCCUUACAUUAAUGCCACAGGUACAGCACCACCAAACAUUCCAUUUUACUCCUUUUACUUUUCCUGACCUUAAUAUCUCAGUAGGAAACCCAACUGGGUUGAGUUAGUAUUCUGGGAAUAGCUGGGUUGAUUCUUUUUUAGGCUGUGGGCUCUGUGGCAGGUUAUAAUCCUACUUGACAAAGACAAAGAUCUCAUCAUGGUUUAAACAACAUGAAACAUCAGAGAGAAAAAAAGUAAUUGUUACAUCACUGAGGUUCACAGAGUACACCUAGUGCAAACCAUGGGAUAAAAUUGCUGAGGUCAACCCUCAUCUCAAAUAGUUAUAGUAGGGUUACUUUGUAGGUCUCUACAAAUAGCUGAGACUAUGAGACUAUCUUGGAAUGCCUUGACAGCAGCUAACCUUAAAAAUGCUAAAUAAACUUAGAGGUUUUGUUUGUUUGUUUGUCUACUGCAUAGACAAAUGGUUAAGAGCACAGAUUAAGGAGCCAGACCACAUGACUCUGUAAUUUACCAGGUUAUAUUCUUUGGUCUUACUUAACAUUCCUGUGCCCUUAGUGUCCCUGUCUAUAAAAUAGGAAAAAUGAGAUAAAAUAUGAUAACAGGAUAAAUUCAGUGACUGUGAAGCACUAAAAAUAGUACUUGACCAUUAUUAUUACAUAUAUUAGCUAUUACUAUAAAUUAUUCUGUUGGCUGAUGAUAGUUUAAAAAUCACACUAAAAACCAAAAAAGAGUAUUCAUACUCAACUUAAAGAGAGAACGUUCAGAUAUCAAAUGAGGCCUCCCAACAAGAGUAACACAUAAGUUUGUUUUAGUGCUCUCCCUAGGUGUCAUGAGACCAAUAAGAGUAGAAGGUUUUGACCAGAGAGUGUAAGAUUAUGUUUAAGAACUGGCAGUUUUGGAGUUCCUGUCAUGACGCAGCAGAAACGAAUCUGACUAGGAACCAUGAGGUUGCAGGUUUGAUCCCUGGCCUUGCUCAGUGGGUUAAGGAUCUGGCAUUGCCAUGAGCUGUGGUGUAGGUCACAGACGUGGCUUGGAUCCCACGUUGCUAUGGCUCUGGUAUAGGCCAGCAGCUGCAGCUCCGAUUCGACCCCUAGCCUGCGAAACUCCAUUCUGAUUUUGGAGAGCUCCCAGAAACUCAGGGAGCUAUUAGGACUCCUCCUGGGGACACAGAUUCAGGUGGCAGUCAGUUUGGGGAGUUCUGUUCUAUGACGAGGACACUGGUGUUGGCAAGCACUGCUUUAGAGUCCUCCUUCUAGCCUUUUAGUGACAGGGGAUUACUCACCCAUCAACAGGCCAGCAUCAACAAGCUGCACAGGUACCCAACUCCAACCACCAGAAAGCUGGCACAAGCCCCAAGGCCUCUGGUGUCCACAGCCAGUGGUGCUUGGAUCCCAGUCCACCCAAAAGAGGGUCAGCAGCCAUAGCACAAGGCAGGACUUGGGAGCCAACGAGGCCAGAGGCCAACACCGCCUACAAGCACACCCAUAGUAGUCAGUGCUACACAAGGGCCCAUGCAGCCCA
Molecule: long non-coding RNA, 4788 nt
Filed under: Sus scrofa (pig)
Lineage: Eukaryota; Metazoa; Chordata; Mammalia; Artiodactyla; Suidae
Description: lncRNA (ENSSSCG00040056055.1)
Source: RNAcentral